This 409-nucleotide ribosomal RNA is filed under the name uncultured bacterium. RNAcentral describes it as "bacterial SSU rRNA". It matches the Rfam family "Bacterial small subunit ribosomal RNA", at positions 355 to 776 of the family's 1533-position model. The record is from RNAcentral.
UCGAGAAUCUUCCACAAUGGACGAAAGUCUGAUGGAGCGACGCCGCGUGAUUGAUGAAGCCCCUCUGGGGCGUAAAGAUCUUUUAUAGGGGAAGAAGUUUAUUGACGGUACCUUAUGAAUAAGAGGCUCCUAAUCUCGUGCCAGCAGGAGCGGUAAUACGAGAGCCUCGAGCGUUAUCCGGAAUUAUUGGGCGUAAAGGGUGCGUAGGUUGUUCUAUUAGUCUUUUGUCAAAACCACUGGCUUAACCAUUGGAUCGCAAAGGAAACGGUAGAACUUGAAAGUGCGAGGGGUGAAUGGAACUCAUGGUGUAGGGGUGAAAUCCGUUGAUAUCAUGGGGAACACCAAAAGCGAAGGCAAUUCACUGGCGCAUAUUUGACACUGAAGCACGAAAGCGUGGGUAGCGAAUGGG